This is a long non-coding RNA of Nannospalax galili (Upper Galilee mountains blind mole rat), 771 nucleotides long. RefSeq lists it as uncharacterized. The record is from RefSeq and is a predicted model, not a curated record. NCBI's taxonomy places the organism in Eukaryota, Metazoa, Chordata, Mammalia, Rodentia, Spalacidae. The transcript is spliced from 5 exons.
UUUUGCAGAUGGUCUGCAGGCGGCAGCCUGGCCGCAUUUAAAGGCCACGGCCGCCCGCCCUCGCUGGAAGGGGCGGCCCUGCCCGCCUCGGGCCCCGCCCCGGCCCCACGGGACCCCGCCCGGCAUGGUGGAGACCCACCCGCGGCCCUCUGCGCUGUCCUGCCUAGUGAGGGGACCACUGUGGAUGGCAGGCCUGCAGGCCCAUGGGCCCCCGACAACCCAGCUUCCUCUUGAGGGCCUCCUCUAUUAGAUACAUGGAGGAAUGGGGACAAGAGGUGGUGAGUUCGAGAGGUGCUGAAGCGAAGCAUCCUUCAGGUCAUAGAAGAUGAUGUCACCCAACACCAGGUAAACUUUCACAUAGUACAGGGUCUCCUCAUCAAACUCCAGGGGUGAGUUGCAGAGCGACAGAGCCUUGAGGUAGAAGUGCUCGGCCAGCUCCCCGUGACCCAGCCGGUGGUGCAGAGUAGCCAGCCGAUGGACCAGCACAAGGAGCCUGCACACAGUGGUUCCAGAUCAGCUGCUUGCCUGCUGCAGGCCUGAGGCCCUGGUCAGUCCACUCAAGGCUCCAUGUCUGGAGGAAGACAAACAUUCUCAUUCAGUCGUUGAGUGAAGCCUGGUACUGAGGGACAUGCUGCAGGAGAGGGGUCCCAUUGAAGAAGAUGUCCCCAGCUGCCUCAAACAGCUCCAGCCCCAGUUUGGGGUCCCCGGUGUACAAGGCUGCAUUCUGUGCCACCUGCGAGGACCAGAAGCUCUCUGGAGUCAGUACCCACC